UUCCUGGUGGUCCAGUGGUUAGGACUCUAUACUCCCAAUGAGAGGGCCCAUGUCCAAACCUUGGUCAGGGAA
RNAcentral lists this transfer RNA (72 nucleotides) under Capra hircus (goat). It matches the Rfam family "tRNA". Rfam says of the family: Transfer RNA (tRNA) molecules are approximately 80 nucleotides in length. Their secondary structure includes four short double-helical elements and three loops (D, anti-codon, and T loops). Lineage: Eukaryota; Metazoa; Chordata; Mammalia; Artiodactyla; Bovidae. The record is from Rfam by way of RNAcentral. RNAcentral also lists the same sequence under 1 other name.